GUGUCAGCAGCCGCGGUAAAACGUAGGAGACAAACGUUAUCCGGAGUUACUGGGCGUAAAGGGCGUGUAGGCGGUUUGUUAAGUCUGGCGUGAAAGCUCUCGGCUAAACCGGGAGAGGUCGUUGGAUACUGGCGAACUAGAGGAUGGUAGAGGCGUGUGGAAUUCCGGGUGUAGUGGUGAAAUGCGUAGAGAUCCGGAGGAACACCAGUGGCGAAGGCGACACGCUGGGCCAUACCUGACGCUAAAGCGCGACAGCAUGGGGAGCAAACGGGAUUAGAUACCCCGGUAGUCC
RNAcentral lists this ribosomal RNA (292 nucleotides) under uncultured bacterium. RNAcentral describes it as "partial 16S ribosomal RNA". It matches the Rfam family "Bacterial small subunit ribosomal RNA", at positions 505 to 796 of the family's 1533-position model. The record is from RNAcentral.